Small nuclear RNA from Jaculus jaculus (lesser Egyptian jerboa), 104 nucleotides. The record is from RefSeq and is a predicted model, not a curated record. Lineage: Eukaryota; Metazoa; Chordata; Mammalia; Rodentia; Dipodidae.
GUGCUCACUUCAGCAGCACAUAUACUAAAAUUGGAACAAUGCAGAGACUAGCAUGGCCCCUGCUCAAGGAUGACAUGUAAAUUCCUGAAGAGUUCCAGAUUUUU